GUUCUAACUAGCAUUCAUGUACUCUCCUUAGUUCCAUUUUAUCUCAUUUCUCUCAAUUGCAAAGAUGGAGAACCUUCAUCUGUAACGUUAUAUUACCUACAUGAAAAAGUCCUUUUUAGAGAAGGGAUUCUUAGAUGAGCAAUUCAUUCAGUUGGAGGAGUUACAGGAUAAUGUAAACCCAAAUUUCAUCUAGGAAGUUGUAACCUUGUUCUUCAAGGACUCUGCUAGACUAAUCCUUAACAUAGAGUCAGCACUGAAAAAGAGCCCACUUGAUUUCAACAAGCUGGGACACCUACAUGCAUCAAUUCAAAGGUAGCAGUUCACAGCGUGU
Molecule: long non-coding RNA, 331 nt
Organism: Magnolia sinica
Lineage: Eukaryota; Viridiplantae; Streptophyta; Magnoliopsida; Magnoliales; Magnoliaceae
Exons: 3
Source: RefSeq, a predicted model, not a curated record